RNAcentral lists this unclassified non-coding RNA (351 nucleotides) under soil metagenome. RNAcentral's name for it is "partial contains 5.8S ribosomal RNA, internal transcribed spacer 2, and large subunit ribosomal RNA". The stretch from base 1 to 120 matches the Rfam family "5.8S ribosomal RNA", at positions 35 to 154 of the family's 154-position model. The record is from RNAcentral.
GAUGAAGAACGCAGCGUAAUGCGAUAAGUAAUGUGAAUUGCAGAAUUCAGUGAAUCAUCGAAUCUUUGAACGCACAUUGCGCCCGCCAGUAUUCUGGCGGGCAUGCCUGUUCGAGCGUCAUUACAACCCUCAGGCCCCCGGGCCUGGCGUUGGGGAUCGGCGGAAGCCCCCUGUGGGCACACGCCGUCCCUCAAAUACAGUGGCGGUCCCGCCGCAGCUUCCAUUGCGUAGUAGCUAACACCUCGCAACUGGAGAGCGGCGCGGCCAUGCCGUAAAACACCCAACUUCUGAAUGUUGACCUCGAAUCAGGUAGGAAUACCCGCUGAACUUAAGCAUAUCAUAAGCGGAGGA